Molecule: long non-coding RNA, 599 nt
Organism: Neopsephotus bourkii (Bourke's parrot)
Lineage: Eukaryota; Metazoa; Chordata; Aves; Psittaciformes; Psittacidae
Exons: 3
Source: RefSeq, a predicted model, not a curated record
UUAGAAGCUCAUGUCCAUAGCGCACUCUAAAAUGUGAUGGUUCAUCCUAGGGUAUUGGCCUAUGAAAGCCUUCCUGGCUCUCCACACUGCUGCCAACUCCAUCUCCACCACUGCUCUUUUUCUCUCUGAGAGUGGAUAAGCCAUGCAAGGAGUCAUUAAGGAAACAUUUGGCAUUGUUAUCCUAUUGAUACAUGCUUUGGUAAAAUUCAAGACUCUCAGCAGGUUAAUUAGAAAGCAGUGUUUCUCAUCAGCAGCCAGUGAGGAGCUGAUGGGGAUCACAGUCUAUACAUGCUCUGUAAGCUGAUCAGACAAGAGCUAGGCAUGCAUUCCCAUGCACAAAAGCAAGGGGUCUGGACAUACAUAAGCAGAAGGAAGGAUUUGUCUUCCCUUUCCUUAGCAGCUUCUUGUAUCUCCUCCUUCACAGGGCAGACUUUGGGCUGAAAUUGCAGUACCAGAACUCAAGUUUUAUCUCUGCUCAUCAUCCUCUCUGCCAUUCAUCCUGUUUCAUCAAGGAAGAAAUAUGCUGUGGCUGGGAAUCCAACAGACACAGCUUCCUCUGACGUGCUCAGCAAAUGUUUUAGUUUUCAGCAGAAAAAGGC